Non-coding RNA from Linepithema humile (Argentine ant), 522 nucleotides. The record is from RefSeq and is a predicted model, not a curated record. Lineage: Eukaryota; Metazoa; Arthropoda; Insecta; Hymenoptera; Formicidae.
CCACAUCAUAGUGAACAGUUGUGCGAGUUCAUGUGGCACCGUCGCAUAUGCUAAACUCUUAAAGGACAUCAAGACAUUAUAUCCAGCCUUUGAAUACUAGUGAUUUAUUCCGUUAAUAUUGCAUCACAAUUCUUUGCUACAAUGAAUAAAUAUCUGUUACUCGUUUUAAUUGGCAUGAUUGCUAUGAUCAACGUAACUCCUGCUUCUAGUGCAGAAUGCGCUCCAUGGCUUGGACAUUGUCAAGAUACGGACCAAUGUUGUCGUGAGUUAAUAUGCUUGACGUACGCAGCUAAAUGCGUUCCCGGUAAAAUUAUUGGUGAUAAUAGGCCUAUCGGAGAUGGACCAUUUCCCCCAGAAAAUUAAAACAAAGUUCAGUUUGGAUACAUAUAUAUAUGACGAAUUAAGCAUAUUAUAUUUGGGAAUAUGAAUAAUACAAUAAGUAUAAUAUACAAAUAUAUACAUAUUAAUUUGCUGUACUUACGUUCUUAAAUGAACGAUUAAACGAUUUCUUGCAUCAAAUAA